UACACUCCUACGGGAGGCAGCAGUGGGGAAUAUUGGACAAUGGGCGCAAGCCUGAUCCAGCCAUGCCGCGUGAGUGAUGAAGGCCCUAGGGUUGUAAAGCUCUUUCACCGGUGAAGAUAAUGACGGUAACCGGAGAAGAAGCCCCGGCUAACUUCGUGCCAGCAGCCGCGGUAAUACGAAGGGGGCUAGCGUUGUUCGGAUUUACUGGGCGUAAAGCGCACGUAGGCGGACUAUUAAGUCAGGGGUGAAAUCCCGGGGCUCAACCCCGGAACUGCCUUUGAUACUGGUAGUCUUGAGUUCGAGAGAGGUGAGUGGAAUUCCGAGUGUAGAGGUGAAAUUCGUAGAUAUUCGGAGGAACACCAGUGGCGAAGGCGGCUCACUGGCUCGAUACUGACGCUGAGGUGCGAAAGCGUGGGGAGCAAACAGGAUUAGAUACCCCUGUAGUCCCAUG
RNAcentral lists this ribosomal RNA (451 nucleotides) under uncultured organism. Its description in RNAcentral is "partial 16S ribosomal RNA". It matches the Rfam family "Bacterial small subunit ribosomal RNA", at positions 332 to 799 of the family's 1533-position model. The record is from RNAcentral.